GUUUAAAGUUUCUUCAAACAACAAACUGUAAUAAUGAAGGCUUCCUUAAUUUUCUUGCUUGUUGGAUUCUUUGUGGUGGUUCAAUCUGUCAAUUCGGCUAAAAUACUCGUACCUCCGAAAAUUGUGUGCAAAUACGUCUGUACUGGAAUAUGCCCGACUGUUCCAGCUGACUGCGAAGCACGAGGCGGCAAAGUUGAAAAGAAGAUGUGCAGUUGUUGUGAUAGCUGUAUUUUUGAAUCUGAUACCAACGAGAUGUGCGGCCAUAAUUCGGAAGAUGCCAUAAUUCACCAAUGUAAAGUCGAAACUGAUUUUUGUAUUGACGGUACAUGCCAACCAAACGUUUAAAUAAAAUUAUAUGCAUUUUCAACAAGAAAACGGAAUAAAUUAUUAUUUCAAAUUAUUUUUUGUCCUACAACUCAAAAUAUUAUUAUAUUGUAACGCAGGAACAUAUUUAACAUACAUAUUUCCUUUAUAAUUAAAUUGAAAAUAUAAUUAUUUAUAAAUAAUACUGGCUUUCCAAGCGAUUUAUAUACCUAUUAUACAUUUUUUAUAAACUAUGUGAAAUCCUGUUCGACGACACGAUUCCUUAUCGUGCAACAGUCUGCCAUAAAUUUAGCAUAUUAUAAAUGAUUAUGAGCGGAACAGUGUCAUUGUGAUAUCAUACCUUGUACACGUUUUGUAUUCACAAUUGAACUAAAAUAACUUCAGUCACGUUGAAACAUAAUAUAUAAAUUUAUGGAAAAAAUGUAUAGAAUCCUUUUGUGUUUAGUAACAAUCUGCGUGUUAAGCGUUGAAUGUCAAUCGCCAUUUGUCUGUUUGUUCGUUUGCAUAGAAGAGUGUCCUCCGAUUGAAGCAAAUUGCCAAAAAUUAGGUGGAAACAUGGAAAAGUUACAUCCUUGUGAUUGUUGUAAAACCUGCGUUAUAUCUGAAAAAGGUUUGGGAGAAAAGUGUGGAAAGCUUGAAACUUAUUUCUAUGCAACAUGUGAUGAUGAAUUAUCUUGCAGUGAUAAUAUCUGCCAACAAAAACAAGAAUAAUUAUUAUGUUAACAAUAAAAAAAGACAUCAAAUUGCUUUUUUAGCAUUGGCUACAUCUUUUUUAAAAUAUUUACCAAAUGUGCUUUUUAUUUGAUGAAUUUCCUUACAUAAACUUUCAAUUAAAAAUAUAUAUUAAUUUAUAUUAUAAAUUUAAUAUUUUACCAUACGA
Dalotia coriaria is the source of this 1204-nucleotide long non-coding RNA. RefSeq lists it as uncharacterized. The transcript has 3 exons. NCBI's taxonomy places the organism in Eukaryota, Metazoa, Arthropoda, Insecta, Coleoptera, Staphylinidae. The record is from RefSeq and is a predicted model, not a curated record.